Molecule: unclassified non-coding RNA, 329 nt
Filed under: soil metagenome
Description: partial contains 5.8S ribosomal RNA, internal transcribed spacer 2, and large subunit ribosomal RNA
Rfam family: 5.8S ribosomal RNA (bases 1-120)
Source: RNAcentral
GAUGAAGAACGUAGCGAAAUGCGAUAAGUAAUGUGAAUUGCAGAAUUCAGUGAAUCAUCGAAUCUUUGAACGCACAUUGCGCCCCCUGGUAUUCCGGGGGGCAUGCCUGUCCGAGCGUCAUUACAACCCUCAAGCUCAGCUUGGUGUUGGGCCCCGCCGCCCCGGCGGGCCCUAAAGUCAGUGGCGGUGCCGUCCGGCUCCGAGCGUAGUAAUUCUUCUCGCUCUGGAGGUCCGGUCGUGUGCUCGCCAGCAACCCCCAAUUUUUUUCAGGUUGACCUCGGAUCAGGUAGGGAUACCCGCUGAACUUAAGCAUAUCAAUAGGCGGAGGA